GACCGCGUAGCUCAGUUGGCAGAGCAUUGGGCUGGUAUUCCAAAGGUCGUAGGUUCGAAUCCCACCGUGGCCA
Molecule: non-coding RNA, 73 nt
Organism: Paramuricea clavata
Lineage: Eukaryota; Metazoa; Cnidaria; Anthozoa; Malacalcyonacea; Plexauridae
Source: the annotation of a GenBank genome assembly